RNAcentral lists this ribosomal RNA (1385 nucleotides) under uncultured bacterium. Its description in RNAcentral is "bacterial SSU rRNA". It matches the Rfam family "Bacterial small subunit ribosomal RNA", at positions 28 to 1381 of the family's 1533-position model. The record is from RNAcentral.
GACGAACGAUGGCGGCGUGCCUAAUACAUGCAAGUCGAGCGAGCGGAACUAACAGAUUUACUUCGGUAAUGACGUUAGGAAAGCGAGCGGCGGAUGGGUGAGUAACACGUGGGGAACCUGCCCCAUAGUCUGGGAUACCACUUGGAAACAGGUGCUAAUACCGGAUAAGAAAGCAGAUCGCAUGAUCAGCUUUUAAAAGGCGGCGUAAGCUGUCGCUAUGGGAUGGCCCCGCGGUGCAUUAGCUAGUUGGUAAGGUAAAGGCUUACCAAGGCGAUGAUGCAUAGCCGAGUUGAGAGACUGAUCGGCCACAUUGGGACUGAGACACGGCCCAAACUCCUACGGGAGGCAGCAGUAGGGAAUCUUCCACAAUGGACGCAAGUCUGAUGGAGCAACGCCGCGUGAGUGAAGAAGGUUUUCGGAUCGUAAAGCUCUGUUGUUGGUGAAGAAGGAUAGAGGUAGUAACUGGCCUUUAUUUGACGGUAAUCAACCAGAAAGUCACGGCUAACUACGUGCCAGCAGCCGCGGUAAUACGUAGGUGGCAAGCGUUGACCGGAUUUAUUGGGCGUAAAGCGAGCGCAGGCGGAAGAAUAAGUCUGAUGUGAAAGCCCUCGGCUUAACCGAGGAACUGCAUCGGAAACUGUUUUUCUUGAGUGCAGAAGAGGAGAGUGGAACUCCAUGUGUAGCGGUGGAAUGCGUAGAUAUAUGGAAGAACACCAGUGGCGAAGGCGGCUCUCUGGUCUGCAACUGACGCUGAGGCUCGAAAGCAUGGGUAGCGAACAGGAUUAGAUACCCUGGUAGUCCAUGCCGUAAACGAUGAGUGCCAAGUGUUGGGAGGUUUCCGCCUCUCAGUGCUGCAGCUAACGCAUUAAGCACUCCGCCUGGGGAGUACGACCGCAAGGUUGAAACUCAAAGGAAUUGACGGGGGCCCGCACAAGCGGUGGAGCAUGUGGUUUAAUUCGAAGCAACGCGAAGAACCUUACCAGGUCUUGACAUCUAGUGCCAUUUGUAGAGAUACAAAGUUCCCUUCGGGGACGCUAAGACAGGUGGUGCAUGGCUGUCGUCAGCUUGUGUCGUGAGAUGUUGGGUUAAGUCCCGCAACGAGCGCAACCCUUGUUAUUAGUUGCCAGCAUUAAGUUGGGCACUCUAAUGAGACGGCCGGUGACAAACCGGAGGAAGGUGGGGAUGACGUCAAGUCAUCAUGCCCCUUAUGACCUGGGCUACACACGUGCUACAAUGGGCAGUACAACGAGAAGCGAGCCUGCGAAGGUAAGCGAAUCUCUGAAAGCUGUUUUCAGUUCGGACUGCAGUCUGCAACUCGACUGCACGAAGCUGGAAUCGCUAGUAAUCGCGGAUCAGCACGCCGCGGUGAAUACGUUCCCGGGCCU